RNA transcript from Juglans regia (Persian walnut), 4225 nucleotides. It is a transcript of the gene named histidine kinase 4-like, with no coding region annotated. The transcript is spliced from 12 exons. The record is from RefSeq and is a predicted model, not a curated record. NCBI's taxonomy places the organism in Eukaryota, Viridiplantae, Streptophyta, Magnoliopsida, Fagales, Juglandaceae.
UCUUAAUAGAGUUGAAUACUUUCUCUGUUUGGUUCUGGGCUGUGUGCGAUUCGCUGUUUGUUGUGUCUGUGUUUGUAUCGGGAUCAGUCUGUGGCAUUUGAUUGGUUGACUAUUCAAAGGAGGAAAAGCAGUGAACGUACUCUUCUUUGUCCGGACGCCGUGAAAUAAAACUUCACCCUUUUUUAUUCGAGUUGGAGAAGACAUUACGCUGUGUUUUUGUUUUCUGUAUUUUAUUUCCAUUACACAAGAAGUGGGAGAGGGCCAGAGGCUGUUCUUUGGAAUUUUCGUCGUUUCUUUCUUUCUUGCUUUUGUUUUGCUUCUUUUUUUUUCCCCAUUUUUGGAGAGCCUUGCUUGCCUCUCAGAAUAGAGUAUUCGGAUUUCCUCAUUUCAAAUUCUGGGUCUGCAUGACCUUCUCUCUUCCUAGUUUCUAGCGUACAAAUAGGUCUCUACCCGGGUGAGUGGGAAGAGAGUGAGAGAGCUGUUUUGCAGUUGUUAGGAGGUUUGCUUGGUUAGGAGGUUUAAAUAAGCAAAACAAUGCUGUAAUUGAUAAACUAAAAAGUUUUUCGGAACUCCUUUUAUUUUCUUACUAAAAAAAUGACAAUACUUUAUAUUUAUGCGUAUACAUCAUUUUGGGUUUUCUAGCUUAGAUAUGAAGGGGGGUAACACAGAAACAAGAAGAAGAGGAGACAAAAGAGCAAGAGGGGUGAAAGGGAGUUUAGUACCAAUGGGUCUGAAGAUGCAGCAGGGCCACCAUCAGUCUGUCGCUGUGAGAUUGAAUGGGCAAAUGGGGACCAAAAGAGGGUACACAUUCAUUCAAGCCAACAGGGCUUGGCUCCCAAAGUUUCUGCUGCUUUGGAUCAUGGCGAUGGCAUUCUUGAGCAUGACCAUAUACAGUAGGAUGGAUGCCGAUAAUAAAGUGCGAAGGAAGGAGGUACUAGGAAGCAUGUGUGAUCAGAGAGCUAGGAUGUUGCAAGAUCAAUUUAGUGUUUGCGUUAAUCAUGUUCACGCUCUCGCCAUCCUCGUUUCCACCUUCCAUUAUUACAAGAACCCUUCAGCAAUUGAUCAGGGAACUUUUGCCGAGUACACAGCUAGAACCGCUUUUGAGCGGCCAUUACUGAGUGGGGUAUCCUAUGCACAGAGAGUGAUUAAUUCGGAAAGGGGAAAUUUUGAGAGGCAAAAUGGUUGGACGAUAAAGACAAUGGAGACGGAGCCUUCACCUGUGCGAGACGAGUACGCUCCUGUCGUAUAUUCUCAGGAAAGCGUUUCUUACCUUGAAUCACUUGACAUGAUGUCUGGAGAGGAAGACAGAGAAAACAUUUUGAGGGCGAGGGCUACUGGGAAAGCCGUUUUGACAAGCCCUUUCAGGCUGCUGGGAUCUCAUCAUCUUGGUGUUGUGCUGACAUUCCCGGUUUACAAAUCGAAGCUCUCUUUGAGCCCAACAGUUCAAGAGCGCAUCGAAGCAACUGCAGGAUAUGUUGGUGGAGCCUUUGAUGUUGAGUCCCUUGUGGAGAAUUUGCUUGGCCAACUUGCUGGGAAUCAGGCGAUUUUAGUGAAUGUAUAUGAUGUCACCAACUCCUCUGAUCCCCUGAUCAUGUAUGGUCACCAAUAUCGAGAUGGUGACACCUAUCUCUUACAUGAGAGCAAGCUUGAUUUUGGAGAUCCUUUUCGGAAGCAUCAAAUGAUAUGUAGAUACCAUCAGAAGGCACCUGUGUCGUGGACAGCACUCAGCACGGCGCUUUUGUUCUUCGUGAUUGGUUUACUAGUAGGUUAUAUCUUACAUGGUGCAGGAAUUCACAUUGUUAAAGUCGAAGAUGAUUUCCAGGAAAUGGAGGAGUUGAAAGUUCGAGCAGAAGCUGCAGAUGUUGCGAAAUCACAGUUUCUAGCUACUGUUUCUCAUGAAAUUAGAACACCCAUGAAUGGCAUCCUUGGAAUGCUUGCACUGCUUUUAGAUACAGAGCUGAGUUCAACUCAGAGGGAUUAUGCUCAAACUGCACGAGCCUGUGGGAAGGCACUUAUAGCAUUAAUUAAUGAGGUGCUUGACCGGGCAAAAAUUGAGGCUGGCAAGUUAGAGCUGGAAGCAGUUCCAUUUGACCUCAGAUCAAUACUAGAUGAUGUCCUCUCUUUAUUUUCCGAGAAGUCUAGACACAAAGGCAUUGAGCUGGCAGUGUUUGUUUCCGAUAAAGUUCCUGAAAUCGUAGUGGGUGAUCCAGGGAGGUUCAGGCAGAUUAUUACAAAUCUUGUGGGCAACUCUGUUAAAUUCACCGAACGUGGACAUGUACUUGUUAAAGCUCAUCUAGCUGAACAAACAAUGGCCAUGGUAAAUAAAAAUGCUGAAACUUGUCUGAAUGGUAAAUCAGAUGGAGGUCUAUUUGUAUCUGGUGGUCAUCAGUUUAAAAACUUGAGCGGUUGUGAAGCUGCUGAUGAGCGGAAUAGUUGGGAUAUGUUUAAGCAUCUAAUUGCUGAUGAAGAGUUCUGUUCUGAUGCUUCACCUAACAUAAUGAACGCAAAUGAAGUGGCUGAACAUGUCACUUUGAUGGUAUGUGUGGAGGAUACUGGAAUUGGGAUUCCACUUUCAGCCCAGGAUCGGGUUUUCAUGCCCUUCAUGCAGGCAGAUAGCUCAACCUCUCGACAUUAUGGAGGAACUGGUAUCGGCCUGAGCAUCAGCAGGUGUCUGGUUGAGCUAAUGGGUGGUCAGAUAAAUUUCAUAAGCCGACCUCAGGUUGGCAGCACAUUUUCAUUCACUGCUGUUUUUGAAAGGUGCAAGAAAGAUGCUUUCUGUGAUAUAAAAAAACCUAAAUACGAAGAUUUGCCUUCUGGUUUUAGAGGAUUAAAAGCAUUAGUAGUUGAUGAGAAACCAGUUAGAGCUGCUGUAACUAGGUACCAUUUACAGAGACUAGGUAUCCUCGUUGAAGUUUCUAGUAGCAUCAAGAUUGCAGUUGCUAUGUGCGGAAAGAAUGGUUCUUUGACAUCUCGAAACUUCCAGCCAGAUUUAAUUCUUGUUGAGAAGGAAUCAUGGAAGUCUGGUGAGGAAGCAGGUCUGAAUGUUCAACUAUUAGACUGGAAACAGAAUGGGAAUAUGUUUCAGGCGCCUAAGCUGAUUCUUCUCGCAACCAAUAUUGUUGAUGCCGAAUUUGAGAAAUCAAAGGCAGCAGGUUUUGCAGAUACUGUGAUCAUGAAACCUUUGAGGGCAAGUAUGGUUGCUGCAUGUCUUCAACAGGUGCUUGGGAUAGGGAAGAAGACACGGCAGGGGAAAGAGAUGCCUAAUGGAUCUUCUUACCUUCAGAACCUGCUUUGUGGCAAGAAAAUUUUAGUUGUUGAUGACAAUAGGGUUAACCGCAGGGUUGCUGCAGGUGCGCUGAAGAAGUUUGGAGCUGAUGUGGAGUGCGUUGAGAGUGGGAAAGCUGCUCUGGCAUUGCUUCAACUACCACAUCAUUUUGAUGCCUGCUUCAUGGAUAUUCAAAUGCCUGAAAUGGACGGGUUUGAGGCCACUCGUCGAAUACGCCUAAUCGAGAGUAAUGCUAAUGAGCAAGUGAAUGGUGGAGCUAAUGAUAUAGGCACUAUUAGGAGAGAGUGGCAUGUGCCAAUAUUGGCCAUGACAGCCGACGUGAUUCAUGCCACAUAUGAUGAGUGCCUGAAAUGUGGGAUGGAUGGGUAUGUCUCGAAGCCUUUUGAGGAAGAGAAUCUUUACCAGGCGGUUGCAAAGUUCUUCAAAUCCAAAUCCAUGCCUGACUUAUAACAAGAAUUUCCAGUCACAUUACUGGCAAACCUGAAGUGGCAGCUCAUGUGGGAUGAAAAGUACCAGAAAUUGAAUGCUUUGUAUAUUUCGUUUUCCUACAGAUAGCAAUGGUGGGUUUCCUUGAAUGCAAAGAAGUCCUCAACUGACAUCGUUUACAGUUUCCACGACCAUUCCUCCUGAAAUGGUAGAAGUUGUAACAGGAUUUGAAGAGGACUAUGGGAAAGCACAAGCAGGAGGGUCCCCCCACAAUUAAGGAAGCCCCUAAAAGCCCUAAACGCUCUACGGAGCCAACCGUAGAGGAAAGGCUGAAGCCAGUCGAUAAGUUUAUUAGCGAAGUACUUAAACUCUUCGAGAACUUGCAGAAGAUCGCAGCGAAAGACAAGCCCAAUUAGGAUGUGUUUUGGGGAUUCCCUUAUGAACAAUGAUUUGGAUAUGUGGUAAACUAAGUACUAAGGAUUGUGGUUUAAAACCCUUAUUUUGUAUUUUGGA